UGCCACAGCCAUAUCACCCUGCAGCCCAAGACUGGUUGCCCACUGAAGCUAAGCAUGGUUGAGCCUGGUCAGUACCUGGAUGGGAGACCACCUGGGAAAACUAGGUUGCUGCAGGAA
This 117-nucleotide ribosomal RNA is filed under the name Sinocyclocheilus grahami. Lineage: Eukaryota; Metazoa; Chordata; Actinopteri; Cypriniformes; Cyprinidae. The record is from RNAcentral.